This 775-nucleotide ribosomal RNA is filed under the name uncultured Neocallimastigales. RNAcentral's name for it is "partial large subunit ribosomal RNA". It matches the Rfam family "Eukaryotic large subunit ribosomal RNA", at positions 24 to 646 of the family's 3401-position model. The record is from RNAcentral. Lineage: Eukaryota; Fungi; Neocallimastigomycota; Neocallimastigomycetes; Neocallimastigales.
GUAGUCUCGCACAGAUGCAUAUCAAUAAGCGGAGGAAAAGAAACUAACAAGGAUUCCCCUAGUAACGGCGAGUGAAGCGGGAAGAGCUCAAAUUUGAAAUCUUAAAGGGUUUCCCUUUACGAAUUGUAGUUUAAAGAAGUGUUUUCUGUUGAGGUUUUGGUAAAAGUUCUUUGGAAUAGGACAUCAUAGAGGGAUGAGAAUCCCGUAUUUGACCUUUACUUUCAACUUUGUGAUACACUUUCAAAGAGUCGGAUUGUUUGGGAAUGCAGUCCAAAAUGGGUGGUAAAUUUCAUCUAAAGCUAAAUAUUGGCGAGAGACCGAUAGCGAACAAGUACCGUGAGGGAAAGAUGAAAAGAACUUUGAAAGGAGAGUUAAACAGUACGUGAAGUUGUCAAAAGGGAAGCGUUUGACACCAGUGUUGUUUUUCUGAAAAUCAAUUAAAGAACUGUUUAUGCUAAGUUGUUUAGACUUUAUCAGCUAUCUGUUUAGUUUUGAGCUUUUCUUUAAUGCACUUUUCAGUUAACAAGUCAACAUCAAUUUCUUUUGCUGUAAAAAAGCUUGAGGAAGGUGGCUUGAGAUUCGUCUUAAGUGUUUAUAGCCUCUUGCCUAUGCAGUCGGAGAGAUUGAGGUCUGCAGCGUAGAUCCUUCGGGGCUAAAUGCAUUUGUGCUAAGUUAUAGCAUUUCAUAGACAACUUGUUGACUAUGAUUUGUCUUGUAGCUUACUCGCUUAUGUUAUUUUACCUACGCUUAGGAUGUUGAUCUGUAGUGCGUGCGC